Molecule: long non-coding RNA, 2953 nt
Organism: Hemicordylus capensis (graceful crag lizard)
Lineage: Eukaryota; Metazoa; Chordata; Lepidosauria; Squamata; Cordylidae
Exons: 3
Source: RefSeq, a predicted model, not a curated record
CACAAUGGUGCCUUCUGACCUCAGGUUUCAGCAGCAAAACUCAUUACAAACCGAGGGUUCAAAUUCAGAUUUGUGAGUGAAAAUGGAGUUGUGGUUGGGUGAUGAAACUGUGGUCUCAUGCUUUCAGAUGAUCACAAACUCCAACCUCUGGUACAUUUAUCUCUUUCUGACAUUACGUCUGAAUGAGGCCUCAGAAAAUCUGACUGCUGUCAGAGGAAAAUUUCCACAACGAAUUCAUAAUUACAAGCACAAGUCAUGCUGGUAAGCACAGGGAAGUCUCGAAAGCCAGUGGAUACUGUUGGGCAAGGACUGGAGAAACCUAGAUUCUAACCAGGCGCGUAACAAUGAUCGGGCAAGGGGAGACAGUUGUCUGGGGGCCCCACUGCCUGGAGGGGCCCCCCAGAGGCACCUCACGUGACUCCUCAUUGCCCCCUGCCCAGCCCCAAGGCCCCUCAGCCACUUGCCCUGUUCGCCGUCUCUCCUGCUUGUUCUGCUGGCCCGCAGUCGAAGCAGCAGACAAGCUGCAAAGAGCUCCUUUUCUGCCGCCUCUCAGCUGAUCGGCGGGUGGGCGGGGCUUCCACGGAGGUCUGGUGUAGGCCUCUGUGAAGCCUGAACUCCAGUAGGGCCCAAGCCAGCCAGGAAGGAGGAGGCAGCCAGAGUGGCCACCGCUGUGCUCUGCAGCAGAAGACCCCCUGCUGCCAGGCCUACCACCUCUGACCUUGGAGAGCAAUGCCACCCACCCACAGAACCUCACCUUAUUACUCUGCAAUGCCAGGUGCAAAUGGUUACCAGGGUGAUGGAGACACUCUGCGUUGGAGCUCCAUAUCACGUGUGAUUUCUUGCGACAAGUUGCUGUACCACAAGUUGGGAUUCCGUGUCACAUGCCUCAAGGCAAUUAACCCACCCUGCACUCACAGAGAGCUUGCGGUGAGAACUGUGAGUUUGCUGCACUUAAAAUUCCCUGACAGUUCUCCUAAUGGGGGGUGAGGGAGGCAGUCACAAGUGCCAAGCCUGGCCUAUUAAUGAUGCGCUCUGAGAUCAAACCUCCCAUUUCUAAGUCAGAUGUACAAGACAAAGAACAAGCUACUUACUGGUUUCUUAAAACAAAAUGUAUACAACCAUUAAUUUGAACAGAGAGGAAGACAACAUCAGACCAUCAGUCCUCAUAGGAUUUGGAUCUUAAAGGUGCUGCUUCUUAGUCUGUAUGGGGCCCCUUGCAAUGAGAAAGAAGCUAUUCCAGAGAUGAUAUGCCUUCCACACUGUCAAAGGAACAUUUCUUCUGUCACUCUUCCCAGUACCAGUCAGGAUAUGCACAGGAAGGCUGUGGCUGCAACAUAGCCACUUUUCUGUUUGGGUGUGUAUGUGUGUAUCACACAGCCGGUAGAAAGGAAGAGAUAAUUUUUGCUUCUGAAGAUUAUUCAUGGUAAUAUCAAGGUAGCAACAUUCUACCUCCAUUUGGCUGAAUCUACCUCAACAUUUCCCUCACAGGCUACAAUAAAAACAUUUCUUAAAUUCAAUUUAAAAAACAAAUCCAAGAAGCUUGUUUCAUGCCUGCAGCCACCUGCCAGUUCCAAGAAGAACCAGCUUUCCCUCAUUUUUCAGAAAAGCAGUAAUCAAUCAGUUCUUCUCGGAAAGCAAGACAGCCAGCAGUUGGCGCUGUAGAAACUGUGUCAGGACCUUGCUCUGUGUUUGAACACAAUGUGAAUUCAUGUGGGAAGGAAACCAGAAGUCACCACUAGAGUGUGGAGGAUGCACAAACUUGCACUUGGAUCUUGCUAAAAGCUUCUCACAGAGCACUUCUUAACUGCCAUCUGGAAGGACCCUGAGUUUGCUAACUCAGUGAAGGCCUGACUCAACUGAGCAAAAACUUAGCGUUUCUUUGAAUGUUUUCUUGUAAACACUGUAGAAUCCAAGGGAAAGAGUUGUGAUAUGCAAGGACAAGGCACUGUGGAGUGGAAUCAGAAAUAUGAAUAGCUUAAUGAAAUAGAUAUUACUAGUUGCGCCGGGCUCAGAGCAUCUGCGUCUCUAGUUUGACCACGGCCGCCAUUUUCUUUCCCCGCCCACCGCCAUCCUGCUGCCAUCAUCAUUUCCUUCCCUGCCUGCCAACCAACACCAUCACCAUUUUCUUCCCCCACCCCCACCAUUUUCUUCCUCACCCCAUACUGUUUUGUUUCCUGCCUCAUCUGCAAACCUGUCCGCUGACACUGCUGCUUUCCUCUCUUCCUGCCAGCAGCUUGCUUGUUGUCUCUCGCAAGAGCUGCCACACAUGAGAUUAGCAACAGGUAUCACACACACACACACACACACACACACACACACAGAGGCAAGUGCAGACUGCUUUUCAGUGCUCCUGCUGCUGGCUUGUUAGCCCUGCCUCUACCUCAGGACUGGAAUGAAAAGCCCCAUUUAAAAGCAGGCCUGGGUUGAGGAAUUGAUUAACCAAAAAAACAUCACAAGUACCACCCACCACAUACAGCUAUAGACAGGACUGCGGCUAUGAUGGGGCUGUCACUCACAUGGCCCGGGAUGGGGGCUGUGAAGAGUUUACAUGAAAGGGAUUCCUCUACCUAAGCUUUAGAUCAGUUGAAUCAAGGAGCUUCCCUGAGUCUGUUACACAAGCUCAAGAAGUGCAUCGUGUGCAAAUUAAAAUGACUGUUUCAGUUUAGCUCUAGUGCCAUCACACAUGUCUCUAGGUGCAUGGGGAAGCAGAGGGACACACAUCUAUCCUGCCACUAUGGGAAUUAGAGUACUGGCCCAGUUGGUAUCUGAACCAGGCCACAGUGUCCAAUGGGAACUCACAUCUUUCCUAAACACCCCUGAGAAGGCAGUACAAUGCACGUAGCACACUCAUUAAAGCAGUAUUCUCAAGUUCAAAGCAUUUCAAGUAUAAUUAAGAUGCAUUGUUAUAAUGAAGGUGCUUAUAAUAAGAUGUGAUGUUGCUGGGAGCCACGGA